This 484-nucleotide ribosomal RNA is filed under the name uncultured bacterium. RNAcentral's name for it is "partial 16S ribosomal RNA". It matches the Rfam family "Bacterial small subunit ribosomal RNA", at positions 28 to 507 of the family's 1533-position model. The record is from RNAcentral.
GUUGAACGCUGGCGGCAGGCCUAACACAUGCAAGUCGAGCGGAUGAAGGGAGCUUGCUCCUGGAUUCAGCGGCGGACGGGUGAGUAAUGCCUAGGAAUCUGCCUGGUAGUGGGGGAUAACGUCCGGAAACGGGCGCUAAUACCGCCUACGUCCUGCGGGAGCAAGUGGGGGAUCUUCGGACCUCACGCUAUCAGAUGAGCCUAGGCCGGAUUAGCUAGUUGGUUGGGUAAAGGCCUACUAAGGCGACGAUCCGUAACUGGUCUGAGAGGAUGAUCAGUCACACUGGAACUGAGACACGGUCCAGACUCCUACGGGAGGCAGCAGUGGGGAAUAUUGGACAAUGGGCGAAAGCCUGAUCCAGCCAUGCCGCGUGUGUGAAGAAGGUCUUCGGAUUGUAAAGCACUUUAAGUUGGGAGGAAGGGCAGUAAGUUAAUACCUUGCUGUUUUGACGUUACCAACAGAAUAAGCACCGGCUAACUUCGUG